GACGAACCGUGCUAACGUUAUUCGGAAUCACUGGGCUUAAAGGGCGCGUAGGCGGGCAAGCAAGUCGAAGGUGAAAUCCCACGGCUCAACCGUGGAAGUGCCCCCGAUACUGCUUGUCUGGAGGGAGAUAGGGGCGUGCGGAACUUCCGGUGGAGCGGUGAAAUGCGUAGAUAUCGGGAGGAACACCGGUGGCGAAGGCGGUUCUCUGGGCCUUACCUGACGCUGAGGAGCGAAAGCGUGGGGAGCGAACAGG
Molecule: ribosomal RNA, 253 nt
Filed under: uncultured bacterium
Lineage: Bacteria
Description: partial 16S ribosomal RNA
Rfam family: Bacterial small subunit ribosomal RNA
Source: RNAcentral